This 253-nucleotide ribosomal RNA is filed under the name uncultured bacterium. Its description in RNAcentral is "partial 16S ribosomal RNA". It matches the Rfam family "Bacterial small subunit ribosomal RNA", at positions 524 to 776 of the family's 1533-position model. The record is from RNAcentral.
UACGAAGGGGGCUAGCGUUAUUCGGUAUCACUGGGCUUAAAGGGUGCGUAGGCGGCUUUGCAAGUUGGGUGUGAAAGCCCUCGGCUCAACCGAGGAAUUGCGCUCAAUACUGCCGAGCUCGAGAGAGACAGAGGUAAGCGGAACUAAUGGUGGAGCGGUGAAAUGCGUUGAUAUCAUUAGGAACACCGGUGGCGAAGGCGGCUUACUGGGUCUUUUCUGACGCUGAGGCACGAAAGCCAGGGGAGCGAACGGG